CGUGCUAUACAUGCAAGUCGAACGAACUCUGGUAUUGAUUGGUGCUGCAUCAUGAUUUACAUUGAGUGAGUGGCGAACUGGUGAGUAACACGUGGGAAACCUGCCCAGAAGCGGGGGAUAACACCUGGAAACAGAUGCUAAUACCGCAUAACAACUUGGACCGCAUGGUCCGAGCUUGAAAGAUGGCUUCGGCUAUCACUUUUGGAUGGUCCCGCGGCGUAUUAGCUAGAUGGUGGGGUAACGGCUCACCAUGGCAAUGAUACGUAGCCGACCUGAGAGGGUAAUCGGCCACAUUGGGACUGAGACACGGCCCAAACUCCUACGGGAGGCAGCAGUAGGGAAUCUUCCACAAUGGACGAAAGUCUGAUGGAGCAACGCCGCGUGAGUGAAGAAGGGUUUCGGCUCGUAAAACUCUGUUGUUAAAGAAGAACAUAUCUGAGAGUAACUGUUCAGGUAUUGACGGUAUUUAACCAGAAAGCCACGGCUAACUACGUGCCAGCAGCCGCGGUAAUACGUAGGUGGCAAGCGUUGUCCGGAUUUAUUGGGCGUAAAGCGAGCGCAGGCGGUUUUUUAAGUCUGAUGUGAAAGCCUUCGGCUCAACCGAAGAAGUGCAUCGGAAACUGGGAAACUUGAGUGCAGAAGAGGACAGUGGAACUCCAUGUGUAGCGGUGAAAUGCGUAGAUAUAUGGAAGAACACCAGUGGCGAAGGCGGCUGUCUGGUCUGUAACUGACGCUGAGGCUCGAAAGUAUGGGUAGCAAACAGGAUUAGAUACCCUGGUAGUCCAUACCGUAAACGAUGAAUGCUAAGUGUUGGAGGGUUUCCGCCCUUCAGUGCUGCAGCUAACGCAUUAAGCAUUCCGCCUGGGGAGUACGGCCGCAAGGCUGAAACUCAAAGGAAUUGACGGGGGCCCGCACAAGCGGUGGAGCAUGUGGUUUAAUUCGAAGCUACGCGAAGAACCUUACCAGGUCUUGACAUACUAUGCAAAUCUAAGAGAUUAGACGUUCCCUUCGGGGACAUGGAUACAGGUGGUGCAUGGUUGUCGUCAGCUCGUGUCGUGAGAUGUUGGGUUAAGUCCCGCAACGAGCGCAACCCUUAUUAUCAGUUGCCAGCAUUAAGUUGGGCACUCUGGUGAGACUGCCGGUGACAAACCGGAGGAAGGUGGGGAUGACGUCAAAUCAUCAUGCCCCUUAUGACCUGGGCUACACACGUGCUACAAUGGAUGGUACAACGAGUUGCGAACUCGCGAGAGUAAGCUAAUCUCUUAAAGCCAUUCUCAGUUCGGAUUGUAGGCUGCAACUCGCCUACAUGAAGUCGGAAUCGCUAGUAAUCGCGGAUCAGCAUGCCGCGGUGAAUACGUUCCCGGGCCUUGUACACACCGCCCGUCACACCAUGAGAGUUUGUAACACCCAAAGUCGGUGGGGUAACCUUUUAGGAACCAGCCGCCUAAGGUGGGACAGAUGAUUAGGGUGAAGUCGUAACAAGUAACCCGUAAGCGGG
Molecule: ribosomal RNA, 1498 nt
Filed under: Lactiplantibacillus plantarum
Lineage: Bacteria; Bacillati; Bacillota; Bacilli; Lactobacillales; Lactobacillaceae
Description: bacterial SSU rRNA
Rfam family: Bacterial small subunit ribosomal RNA
Source: RNAcentral